This 653-nucleotide long non-coding RNA is filed under the name Cricetulus griseus (Chinese hamster). Its description in RNAcentral is "lncRNA (ENSCGRG00015035060.1)". The record is from RNAcentral. Lineage: Eukaryota; Metazoa; Chordata; Mammalia; Rodentia; Cricetidae.
GUUUAGGGUUUCCCUAGAAACUGCCACUUCAAAGCCACCAAGGGAAAACUCAGGCAAUGUUGCUUCCUUCCUAGGACGCUUUGUUGUCUGCCUGCACCUGUGCAAAGCCUCCAGUCAGAUUUUGACACUUCACUAUUGAGCAAGCCAGCAGUUGCACACGGAGACCCUGAGGAGAGGACCCCUCACCAUGUCCUUCAUCUCCUGUCUGAAUUGUGGACCGUUAACAUGAAUAUUGCCAAAGCCUUCUUGCUUGCAUAGUCGAUGGUGAGACAAUGUCAGCAGUAGCAAGUGGUGUAGUGCCAUGUGGGUAGGAAGUACAUGAAGCUGAGAAGACAAAGGGCUUGAUCUUCGAUGGGCAAGUUUGACUACUGAUAGAGAAGCAGCUGGGACACCCCCCCCCCCAACCCAGGUAGUCCAAGGGGGUCAGGAAUCAGGAGUGGGGAUGUCCUUUUGACCUAUGAGUUACAGGGCUCCAAGAGGUCCUGGUUGAAUUUCCUCCACAGGUUGAAGCUGGUCAAUCUCUUUGACAACUAACAGCUAACAAAAUCCAAGGAGGGACCUCAGUGGGAGCAGAGUACAAACACCAUCUCUAUGAGGCUCCAUGUGCAAGGGAUGUGAGCAGAAGCAGCGUUCCAGGGGAAGCGUUAUGGGUG